RNAcentral lists this ribosomal RNA (602 nucleotides) under uncultured bacterium. RNAcentral's name for it is "bacterial SSU rRNA". It matches the Rfam family "Bacterial small subunit ribosomal RNA", at positions 185 to 804 of the family's 1533-position model. The record is from RNAcentral.
UCGGCAUCGACCAGAGGGAAAAGGAGCAAUCCGCUUUGAGGUGGCCUCGCGUCCGAUUAGCUAGUUGGUGAGGUAACGGCCCACCAAGGCGACGAUCGGUAGCCGGACUGAGAGGUUGAACGGCCACAUUGGGACUGAGACACGGCCCAGACUCCUACGGGAGGCAGCAGUGGGGAAUAUUGCACAAUGGGGGAAACCCUGAUGCAGCGACGCCGCGUGGAGGAAGAAGGUCUUCGGAUUGUAAACUCCUGUUGUUGAGGAAGAUAAUGACGGUACUCAACAAGGAAGUGACGGCUAACUACGUGCCAGCAGCCGCGGUAAAACGUAGGUCACAAGCGUUGUCCGGAAUUACUGGGUGUAAAGGGAGCGCAGGCGGGAAGACAAGUUGGAAGUGAAAUCUAUGGGCUCAACCCAUAAACUGCUUUCAAAACUGUUUUUCUUGAGUAGUGCAGAGGUAGGCGGAAUUCCCGGUGUAGCGGUGGAAUGCGUAGAUAUCGGGAGGAACACCAGUGGCGAAGGCGGCCUACUGGGCACCAACUGACGCUGAGGCUCGAAAGUGUGGGUAGCAAACAGGAUUAGAUACCCUGGUAGUCCACACCGUA